This 281-nucleotide long non-coding RNA is filed under the name Ursus maritimus (polar bear). RNAcentral describes it as "lncRNA (ENSUMAG00000000944.1)". The record is from RNAcentral. Lineage: Eukaryota; Metazoa; Chordata; Mammalia; Carnivora; Ursidae.
AGAGAAUCGUGGCAGGAAAUGAAAUCUCAAAACGUCAACAACGAACAAUUUGUCUGAAAUUCUGCUCAAACACCUUUUUAAAACCAAAUGACAUCAUGUCUGUCGGGGUACAUUGUUCUAGAACACAGAUUGGAAAUGCUUCUCCAUCUCUCCAUAAACAAUGGCUGCAAAGUUUGUCAGCAUCCUCCCUAAAGCAAAACGUGGCAUCAUUCCAUCAGAAUGCUGGAGGCAUCAAGAGCCAUGGCAGUUCAGAGCAGCUAGGACCUCCUGAGAAGAACUAG